Molecule: ribosomal RNA, 435 nt
Filed under: uncultured soil bacterium
Lineage: Bacteria
Description: bacterial SSU rRNA
Rfam family: Bacterial small subunit ribosomal RNA
Source: RNAcentral
GAACGCGAAGAACCUUACCUGGACUAGAAUGUGAGGGGAUAUCGGGUAAUGCCGGUAGUCCGGGAAACCGGACCCAAAACAAGGUGCUGCAUGGCUGUCGUCAGCUCGUGUCGUGAGAUGUCGGGUUAAGUCCCGCAACGAGCGCAACCCUUAUCAACAGUUGCCAUCAUUAAGUUGGGAACUCUGUUGAGACUGCCGUUGAUAAAACGGAGGAAGGUGGGGAUGAUGUCAAGUCAUCAUGGCCUUUAUGUUCAGGGCUACACACGUGCUACAAUGGAAGGUACAAAACGUCGCAAUCCCGCAAGGGGGAGCUAAUCGCGAAAACCUUCCUCAGUUCGGAUUGGAGUCUGCAACUCGACUCCAUGAAGUUGGAAUCGCUAGUAAUCGCAAAUCAGCAUGUUGCGGUGAAUACGUUCCCGGGUCUUGUACACACGC